AACGAACGCUGGCGGCAUGCCUAACACAUGCAAGUCGAACGAGACCUUCGGGUCUUGUGGCGCACGGGUGCGUAACGCGUGGGAACCUGCCCUUAGGUUCGGAAUAACUCCCCGAAAGGGGUGCUAAUACCGGAUCAUGUCUUCGGACCAAAGAUUUAUCGCCUUUGGAUGGGCCCGCGUUGGAUUAGCUAGUUGGUAGGGUAAAAGCCUACUAAGGCGAGGAUCCAUAGCUGGUCUGAGAGGAUGGUCAGCCACACUGGGAGUGAGACACGGCCCAGACUCCUACGGGAGGCAGCAGAGGUUAAUAUUGGACAAGGGGGGAAAGGCUGAUCCAGCAAUGCCGCGUAAGUGAUGAAGGCCGUAGGGUAGUAAAGCUCUUUUACCCGGGAUGAUAAUGACGGUACCGGGAGAAUAAGCUCCGGCUAACUCCGUG
This 433-nucleotide ribosomal RNA is filed under the name uncultured bacterium. RNAcentral's name for it is "partial 16S ribosomal RNA". It matches the Rfam family "Bacterial small subunit ribosomal RNA", at positions 29 to 507 of the family's 1533-position model. The record is from RNAcentral.